Molecule: ribosomal RNA, 460 nt
Filed under: uncultured bacterium
Lineage: Bacteria
Description: partial 16S ribosomal RNA
Rfam family: Bacterial small subunit ribosomal RNA
Source: RNAcentral
CCUACGGGUGGCAGCAGUGAGGAAUAUUGGUCAAUGGACGAGAGUCUGAACCAGCCAAGUAGCGUGAAGGAUGACUGUCCUAUGGGUUGUAAACUUCUUUUAUAUGGGAAUAAAAUGUUCCACGUGUGGGUUUUUGUAUGUACCAUAUGAAUAAGGAUCGGCUAACUCCGUGCCAGCAGCCGCGGUAAUACGGAGGAUCCGAGCGUUAUCCGGAUUUAUUGGGUUUAAAGGGAGCGUAGGUGGAUUGUUAAGUCAGUUGUGAAAGUUUGCGGCUCAACCCUAAAAUUGCAGUUGAAACUGGCAGUCUUGAGUACAGUAGAGGUGGGCGGAAUUCGUGGUGUAGCGGUGAAAUGCUUAGAUAUCACGAAGAACUCCGAUUGCGAAGGCAGCUCACUGGACUGCAACUGACGCUGAGGCUCGAAAGUGUGGGUAUCAAACAGGAUUAGAUACCCCAGUAGUC